RNAcentral lists this ribosomal RNA (427 nucleotides) under uncultured bacterium. RNAcentral's name for it is "partial 16S ribosomal RNA". It matches the Rfam family "Bacterial small subunit ribosomal RNA", at positions 355 to 774 of the family's 1533-position model. The record is from RNAcentral.
UGGGGAAUAUUGGACAAUGGGCGAAAGCCUGAUCCAGCCAUGCCGCGUGUGUGAAGAAGGUCUUCGGAUUGUAAAGCACUUUAAGUUGGGAGGAAGGGCAUUAACCUAAUACGUUAGUGUUUUGACGUUACCGACAGAAUAAGCACCGGCUAACUCUGGGCCAGCAGCCGCGGUAAUACAGAGGGUGCAAGCGUUAAUCGGAAUUACUGGGCGUAAAGCGCGCGUAGGUGGUUUGUUAAGUUGGAUGUGAAAUCCCCGGGCUCAACCUGGGAACUGCAUUCAAAACUGACUGACUAGAGUAUGGUAGAGGGUGGUGGAAUUUCCUGUGUAGCGGUGAAAUGCGUAGAUAUAGGAAGGAACACCAGUGGCGAAGGCGACCACCUGGACUAAUACUGACACUGAGGUGCGAAAGCGUGGGGAGCAAACA